This 3915-nucleotide unclassified non-coding RNA is filed under the name Monomorium pharaonis (pharaoh ant). Its description in RNAcentral is "fasciclin-1, transcript variant X1". The record is from RNAcentral. Lineage: Eukaryota; Metazoa; Arthropoda; Insecta; Hymenoptera; Formicidae.
GGUUUGUCAAAUACUUAACGUAACGUAACGCGUUACAAAAAAGCUUGUGGCUCUUACCCGCUGCACCGCAUUGCCCCCAUCACCCCUACUUGGUGACCGUCACUAUCGCGUCGCUUGAUGUCCUGUCAAAUGAAAGUACGCAGUAUUACACAGCCACCGAAAACACGAAUUGACUCUAGUGUCAUUAUAUGUCAAAUUGAUAAUAUUGUAACAUAUUACAUAAGCACAACACAAAAUUUGUCGUAAAAACGAUCGCAUGCGCACUAUACUAACAGUCAAUCAAUAUGCCCGACAGAGCUCGUGAUACAACAAGUAUUUGGUCAGAACUCCAUGGAGGGAGCGAUAGUAGCGUGCUACCGUCCGUAUUGUGAACAUUAAGCGAAAAGAGUGUAGUGAGAUAAAAAGAGAGAUUGAGGAGAGGAAGAGAAAGAGAAAGAGACGAUCGCGCGAUUUCGCGCUCGAUCACACCAAUUGACGUAAUUGUGCGCGAAUAAUAAUAUCUUUUUCCGAUUUAUACGGUGUUCAUCCCCGGUGUCCGUGGGCAACAUCCGGCCCGCAAUAUUUGAAAGCGGCGCACGGCGCGGUCUCGCGAAUUAAUAAAUUAUAUAUAUCCGGUGUAAAUACUUAAUUAUCCGCGUGAACGUUCUUUUUUAUAAAUGACAAUGUCUUGUAUGUGUUCAAACAAAGGCCUACGUAAGGCAAUACUAAUUUUAUAUUUGUUUACGGCAGUGCCCGUCGCCAGCGGCGGAAUAGAAGAAAAAAUAGAAAACAACAAGAACCUUUCAAAGUUUUACAACCUUUUGAAAACUAACGAGAUGGCAUAUCUUAUGCUUACAUGCAGACCCUUAACUGUGUUUGCACCUAUUAAUCAAGCGUUUGAGAAGUAUAAUGGAAGCUUGGAGAACUUGGCUUUGUAUCACAUGACAAAAGAAUCUAGGAUGCUGGAGGAUUUUAAGGAAACUUUGAUACCCACCGAAGACGAUUACAAACCUUUAUGGAUUACUAUAAUACCAGGAAAACAUAACACCAUGGACUAUUACAUCAACAACGCAAUGAUCCUCUUCAACCAGAGCAAUGUUAAAUCAACGUUAAAAUACAAAGGCAAUACCGUGAUUCAGAUUCUGCACAUCAUAAACGAAGUGUUGGAGCCAGUACAAUACAACUCGAAUUAUUCGAAAGAAAUAUCGAAUUAUAAUCCAAACGCUUUUGACGUUUUAAACCAGACCGAGGGUCUCAAUUUGAGUGACUAUCGCGUAUGUACUUUCCGACAGCGGGUCCUCAUCGAACAGAAGAAAGAUAUCUUCACGAACAAGGGUUGUCAUACCUUUUUCAUCCCCGUUGAUGCGGGUUUCAAGACGGAGCAGAGGUUGAAUAAAAUCGAUCAACUAGUAAUUAAAGGUCAUGUAUUACCCAAAAAGGUCAUUUUCAUCGCGCCGACGCCAGAGAAAGUGCAGUAUCGGACCCUUGUGCACUCCAACGAACUGCAAGUCGUCGUCAGUUUUUCCAAAUCACAAAAUAAGGUCUACGUGCAGUCGGACACAUUGGUGGGCGAUGCGUCUCAUCAACCAGGAGUGGUGCUGGCGGAGAUAGUGAAAGGGAACAUUCCCGUAAGCAACGGCGUUGUUCAUCUAAUACAACGGCCGCUUAUGGUCGUCGACAGCACCGUUAAGGAUUUUCUGGAGGAAAACAAAAAUGGACCGGUGGGCAAAUUUUACGAGAUAAUUCACGAUUAUGGGGGCGAGAUUAUGAGUUCCAUCAGUCACCUAAAUGAUGUUACCCUGUUUGUGCCCAGCAAUGACGCGCUAGAUAAGACAGAUGUGAAAAAGAUGCUGCAGGACAAGAACUGGUUGAGAGAAAUCCUUAAACUUCACUACGUCAAGAAGCGGCUGACCUUCAAGGAAAUCAAAGACAAAGCCAUCAGGCUGGACAAAACCUUAAGCAGGAAGUGGUAUGACGGAGUGCCGACCGCCGCCUACAAUAAAAUGCUUUACUUCGAUGUGGUGUGGAGAUCAACGGAGAUUUCAACCGUCACCGUAGAGGGCAGCGGUGGAAACGCUACUAUUAUUAUCCCCAACAUCGCCAUUACUAAUGGGAUUGUUCAUGUAAUUGACAGAGUUCUUGGAGUACCCUCUACUGAUGUCCUUGACAAACUCGGGACUUAUCAGGGGCUCAACUUGACUCACUUUCUGGGCCAGCAAUGCGGAAUUAACAACCAAUUGAACAAUACUAAAAAAUGGUUUACCUACUUUGUUCCGCUCGACGAGGCCUGGACAAACCCGGAAAAUAAUGAUUUGUCAACCAUUAAGAAAGUCUUUAUGCCCAAGUACAGUUAUUACGCGAAGAAGAUAUUGGCGCGACAUCUCAUAAUAGCCAAUCAAACGUACAGAAUGACGAAACUGAUGGAAAUGAAUCUAAACUUCAAGGUCAAGGUAGAAAACGAAGGUUUUUCUUUGGACUGGGGGACUACAACUAUGAAAGUCCUCUAUCCAGAUAUUGAAUGCACAAAUGGUGUCAUUCAUGUGAUCGAUGGAGUGUUUCCUAAGAAGAGCGGUUUCCAAAUGACAAGCGGUGCGUCGCUGUUCACCUUUGCACCCCAAUUAAUCAUGAUACUGAUAAUUAACAAGUGGCAUCUGUAAAAAUUAUCAUCACCGCGUCGCAUCGUCAUAAAAAUUUUUUUUGGGAGCCGUCUGCGAUUGUACUCGAACGACGAUGACGACGCAACGCGGGAAGGCACAGCAGUGAUGCGUUGUCAGUUGCUGUCACAAAAGAGCUGCACCAGCACUGGAUAAAUACUGGGAGUAGUAUAGGGGAAGCCAUGAGGCGUCAAAACAAACCCCCACUCCUCGCCCUCACAGCGGGGGGUGUCUGCCCCCUUUCCCCCCCUGUCUGGGGCAGCCAUGGUGCAUCAAAACAAACCCGAACUUCUUUUUUUCUCGGCCUGAUGUCAAACCUAACCCCACUUUUCCUCCGAGUGGUGUCAAACUUAACCCCCUUCCCCCGUCUGGGCCUGGUGGGGAAGACUAGACGCUGUGACGUCACGAGUUUGAACGACGCGUUUUGAUUGGCACCCCAUGGCUGCCCUGAGCCUUGAAUGGGUUUGUGUCGUCACGAUUUUGAACGGAGGGUUAUGAUUGGAUACCCCAUGGCUGCCCCGAAUCUUGAUUGGCACUUCAUGGCUGCCCCAAGCCUUCAUUGGCUGCCCUGAGUAUACUACUGGAUUUUGAAUAGGAAAAAGCAGAUCUUAGUGCCGAGCGUUUUUACCCAGCGGGGAUGCGGCUCGGUCAAGUACGAGUUUUUGUAAAUGGGUCAAUAGGUUUAUAGGUCAAGUAUGCUUUGUAAGCGCGAGAGAGAGAACUUUUUGCUAUUAUGUAGAGAUACUUUAGGCACAAACAGGAGCUUGUAUAUUUCGAGUCUUAAAAAAAUCAAAACUAUGUAUUGUAAAGGAAGUAAAAUAAAUAUAUUAGGAUUAACUUUUGAAAGAAAAUUCUUUUACUAUUGUGCAGAGAUACUUUAGGCAUAAACAAAAACUUGUACAUUUCCUGUCUUAAAAAAUCAAAAACUAUGUAUCAUGAAAAGAGAAAAAGAAAUAUGACGGGAAUAACUUUUAAAAAGAAAAUUCUUUUGCUAUUAUGUAGAGAUACUUUAGACACAAACAGAAACUAGUAUGUUUAGAGUUUUAUAAAAAUCAAAAACUAUGUAUUAUGGAAGGGACUAAAAGAAAUAUGAAGAGUUACGAGUAAAAAAUAGUUUUAUUUUAAUACGCAAACUUUUCGUACAAAAAUACAUUGUAACUGACCAAAAUUAUACAAAAAUUAUGCUCUACGUUUUGACAAAAUUAUAUUGGUAAUUUCGUUACAACGCAGUGUAAUCAGUUCCAAAAAUAUUAUAUUGAAAUAUACGUCAAGGAAAGUUAAA